AGAUAAGAUUAAGUGUUUGGGCACAGAAUAUGGUAUUCCUUUGCUUGGCUACACUGUAGUUCGAGUAAGGGGGUGUUAUAGGUGAGACAUGCAUUAGUCGUUUCAAGUUUCAAGAAUUUCUCCUAACUGUCAAAAUCCAUUUGUGACAGAUUAGUAGUUAUGAAUUUUGUUUGAUUAACUUAGCCUUAACCAAAAAAGUAAUUUUUACAAGUAAAUCACCUAAAACCAUUGAGCCUAUUCAAUACGUUCAGUCCAACAAACCCAUGAGAGAACAAUUGUUUGCUUUUUAG
This 290-nucleotide unclassified non-coding RNA is filed under the name Hevea brasiliensis (rubber tree). The record is from RNAcentral. Lineage: Eukaryota; Viridiplantae; Streptophyta; Magnoliopsida; Malpighiales; Euphorbiaceae.